UUGACGUAAGGUAUUCUGGGAGGGUUGAACUCCUCUCGGCUCUGCCUGUGUGGUGUUGGAGCGCCCUCAUGUGGUGUAUAUUCUGAGCCACAGUGUCACAAAGCAUUCCAGAGCCCCAGUUUAUACUGGUGUGGCUCGGAAUGUCGCAUAUUCCUUGAUCUUCCUGUAGUCACUAGUGGGCGCUGAUGAGGAAGAAAAACCAUGCGGCUGACAGUU
Small nucleolar RNA from Styela clava, 216 nucleotides. RefSeq annotates it as small nucleolar RNA SNORA73 family. NCBI's taxonomy places the organism in Eukaryota, Metazoa, Chordata, Ascidiacea, Stolidobranchia, Styelidae. The record is from RefSeq and is a predicted model, not a curated record.